GGUUAAGCGACUAAGCGUACACGGUGGAUGCCCUGGCAGUCAGAGGCGAUGAAGGACGUGCUAAUCUGCGAUAAGCGUCGGUAAGGUGAUAUGAACCGUUAUAACCGGCGAUUUCCGAAUGGGGAAACCCAGUGUGAUUCGUCACACUAUCAUUAACUGAAUCCAUAGGUUAAUGAGGCGAACCGGGGGAACUGAAACAUCUAAGUACCCCGAGGAAAAGAAAUCAACCGAGAUUCCCCCAGUAGCGGCGAGCGAACGGGGAGGAGCCCAGAGCCUGAAUCAGUGUGUGUGUUAGUGGAAGCGUCUGGAAAGGCGCGCGAUACAGGGUGACAGCCCCGUACACAAAAAUGCACAUGCUGUGAGCUCGAUGAGUAGGGCGGGACACGUGGUAUCCUGUCUGAAUAUGGGGGGACCAUCCUCCAAGGCUAAAUACUCCUGACUGACCGAUAGUGAACCAGUACCGUGAGGGAAAGGCGAAAAGAACCCCGGCGAGGGGAGUGAAAAAGAACCUGAAACCGUGUACGUACAAGCAGUGGGAGCACAGAGCAAUCUGUGUGACUGCGUACCUUUUGUAUAAUGGGUCAGCGACUUAUAUUCUGUAGCAAGGUUAACCGAAUAGGGGAGCCGAAGGGAAACCGAGUCUUAACCGGGCGUUAAGUUGCAGGGUAUAGACCCGAAACCCGGUGAUCUAGCCAUGGGCAGGUUGAAGGUUGGGUAACACUAACUGGAGGACCGAACCGACUAAUGUUGAAAAAUUAGCGGAUGACUUGUGGCUGGGGGUGAAAGGCCAAUCAAACCGGGAGAUAGCUGGUUCUCCCCGAAAGCUAUUUAGGUAGCGCCUCGUGAAUUCAUCUCCGGGGGUAGAGCACUGUUUCGGCAAGGGGGUCAUCCCGACUUACCAACCCGAUGCAAACUGCGAAUACCGGAGAAUGUUAUCACGGGAGACACACGGCGGGUGCUAACGUCCGUCGUGAAGAGGGAAACAACCCAGACCGCCAGCUAAGGUCCCAAAGUCAUGGUUAAGUGGGAAACGAUGUGGGAAGGCCCAGACAGCCAGGAUGUUGGCUUAGAAGCAGCCAUCAUUUAAAGAAAGCGUAAUAGCUCACUGGUCGAGUCGGCCUGCGCGGAAGAUGUAACGGGGCUAAACCAUGCACCGAAGCUGCGGCAGCGACACUGUGUGUUGUUGGGUAGGGGAGCGUUCUGUAAGCCUGUGAAGGUGUACUGUGAGGUAUGCUGGAGGUAUCAGAAGUGCGAAUGCUGACAUAAGUAACGAUAAAGCGGGUGAAAAGCCCGCUCGCCGGAAGACCAAGGGUUCCUGUCCAACGUUAAUCGGGGCAGGGUGAGUCGACCCCUAAGGCGAGGCCGAAAGGCGUAGUCGAUGGGAAACAGGUUAAUAUUCCUGUACUUGGUGUUACUGCGAAGGGGGGACGGAGAAGGCUAUGUUGGCCGGGCGACGGUUGUCCCGGUUUAAGCGUGUAGGCUGGUUUUCCAGGCAAAUCCGGAAAAUCAAGGCUGAGGCGUGAUGACGAGGCACUACGGUGCUGAAGCAACAAAUGCCCUGCUUCCAGGAAAAGCCUCUAAGCAUCAGGUAACAUCAAAUCGUACCCCAAACCGACACAGGUGGUCAGGUAGAGAAUACCAAGGCGCUUGAGAGAACUCGGGUGAAGGAACUAGGCAAAAUGGUGCCGUAACUUCGGGAGAAGGCACGCUGAUAUGUAGGUGAAGUCCCUCGCGGAUGGAGCUGAAAUCAGUCGAAGAUACCAGCUGGCUGCAACUGUUUAUUAAAAACACAGCACUGUGCAAACACGAAAGUGGACGUAUACGGUGUGACGCCUGCCCGGUGCCGGAAGGUUAAUUGAUGGGGUCAGCGCAAGCGAAGCUCUUGAUCGAAGCCCCGGUAAACGGCGGCCGUAACUAUAACGGUCCUAAGGUAGCGAAAUUCCUUGUCGGGUAAGUUCCGACCUGCACGAAUGGCGUAAUGAUGGCCAGGCUGUCUCCACCCGAGACUCAGUGAAAUUGAACUCGCUGUGAAGAUGCAGUGUACCCGCGGCAAGACGGAAAGACCCCGUGAACCUUUACUAUAGCUUGACACUGAACAUUGAGCCUUGAUGUGUAGGAUAGGUGGGAGGCUUUGAAGUGUGGACGCCAGUCUGCAUGGAGCCGACCUUGAAAUACCACCCUUUAAUGUUUGAUGUUCUAACGUGGACCCGUGAUCCGGGUUGCGGACAGUGUCUGGUGGGUAGUUUGACUGGGGCGGUCUCCUCCUAAAGAGUAACGGAGGAGCACGAAGGUUGGCUAAUCUUGGUCGGACAUCAGGAGGUUAGUGCAAUGGCAUAAGCCAGCUUGACUGCGAGCGUGACGGCGCGAGCAGGUGCGAAAGCAGGUCAUAGUGAUCCGGUGGUUCUGAAUGGAAGGGCCAUCGCUCAACGGAUAAAAGGUACUCCGGGGAUAACAGGCUGAUACCGCCCAAGAGUUCAUAUCGACGGCGGUGUUUGGCACCUCGAUGUCGGCUCAUCACAUCCUGGGGCUGAAGUAGGUCCCAAGGGUAUGGCUGUUCGCCAUUUAAAGUGGUACGCGAGCUGGGUUUAGAACGUCGUGAGACAGUUCGGUCCCUAUCUGCCGUGGGCGCUGGAGAACUGAGGGGGGCUGCUCCUAGUACGAGAGGACCGGAGUGGACGCAUCACUGGUGUUCGGGUUGUCAUGCCAAUGGCACUGCCCGGUAGCUAAAUGCGGAAGAGAUAAGUGCUGAAAGCAUCUAAGCACGAAACUUGCCCCGAGAUGAGUUCUCCCUGACCCUUUAAGGGUCCUGAAGGAACGUUGAAGACGACGACGUUGAUAGGCCGGGUGUGUAAGCGCAGCGAUGCGUUGAGCUAACCGGUACUAAUGAACCGUGAGGCUUAACCUU
RNAcentral lists this ribosomal RNA (2905 nucleotides) under Escherichia coli O157:H7. Its description in RNAcentral is "23S ribosomal RNA". It matches the Rfam family "Bacterial large subunit ribosomal RNA". Lineage: Bacteria; Pseudomonadati; Pseudomonadota; Gammaproteobacteria; Enterobacterales; Enterobacteriaceae. The record is from RNAcentral.